RNAcentral lists this ribosomal RNA (872 nucleotides) under Fomitiporia dryophila. Its description in RNAcentral is "eukaryotic LSU rRNA". It matches the Rfam family "Eukaryotic large subunit ribosomal RNA", at positions 66 to 915 of the family's 3401-position model. The record is from RNAcentral. Lineage: Eukaryota; Fungi; Basidiomycota; Agaricomycetes; Hymenochaetales; Hymenochaetaceae.
UAACAAGGAUUCCCCUAGUAACUGCGAGUGAAGCGGGAAGAGCUCAAAUUUAAAAUCUGACAGUCUUCUGGCUGUCCGAGUUGUAAUCUGGAGAAGCGUUUUCCGUGUUAGACCGUGUACAAGUCUCCUGGAACGGAGCGUCAUAGAGGGUGAGAAUCCCGUCCAUGACACGGACAACUAAUACUUUGUGAUACGCUCUCGAAGAGUCGAGUUGUUUGGGAAUGCAGCUCAAAAUGGGUGGUAAAUUCCAUCUAAAGCUAAAUACAGGCGAGAGACCGAUAGCGAACAAGUACCGUGAGGGAAAGAUGAAAAGCACUUUGGAAAGAGAGUUAAACAGUACGUGAAAUUGUUGAAAGGGAAACGCUUGAAGUCAGUCGCGUUGUGCAGAACUCAGCCUUGCCUCGGCUUGGUGUACUUUCUGCACAACGGGUCAACAUCAAUUUUGGCCCAUGGAGAAAGGUGGGGGGAAUGUAGCGCUGUUUCGGCAGCGUGUUAUAGCCCCUCACUGUAUACAUGGGCUGGGAUUGAGGAACGCAGCACGCCCUUGUGGCCGGGGGUUCGCCCCACGUACCGUGCUUAGGAUGUUGGCAGAAUGGCUUUAAGCGACCCGUCUUGAAACACGGACCAAGGAGUCUAACAUGCUUGCAAGUGUUCGGGUGGAAAACCCUUGUGCGUAAUGAAAGUGAAAGUUGGGAACCUCCGCAAGGGGGUGCACCGACGCCCGGCCCUGACGUUCUCUGACGGUGCUGCGGUAGAGCAAGUAUGCUAGGACCCGAAAGAUGGUGAACUAUGCCUGAAUAGGGCGAAGCCAGAGGAAACUCUGGUGGAGGCUCGUAGCGAUUCUGACGUGCAAAUCGAUCGUCAAAUUUGGG